UACGGGGGGGAGCAAGCGUUGUUCGGAAUCACUGGGCGUAAAGGGUGCGUAGGCGGGUCUUUAAGUCAGGGGUGAAAUCCUGGAGCUCAACUCCAGAACUGCCUUUGAUACUGAGGAUCUUGAGUUCGGGAGAGGUGAGUGGAACUGCGAGUGUAGAGGUGAAAUUCGUAGAUAUUCGCAAGAACACCAGUGGCGAAGGCGGCUCACUGGCCCGAUACUGACGCUGAGGCACGAAAGCGUGGGGAGCAAACAGG
This 254-nucleotide ribosomal RNA is filed under the name uncultured bacterium. Its description in RNAcentral is "partial 16S ribosomal RNA". It matches the Rfam family "Bacterial small subunit ribosomal RNA", at positions 524 to 776 of the family's 1533-position model. The record is from RNAcentral.